Molecule: ribosomal RNA, 439 nt
Filed under: uncultured bacterium
Lineage: Bacteria
Description: partial 16S ribosomal RNA
Rfam family: Bacterial small subunit ribosomal RNA
Source: RNAcentral
CUACGGGUUGCAGCAGUGGGGGAUAUUGCACAAUGGAGGGAACUCUGAUGCAGCGAUGCUGCGUGGAGGAAGAAGGUUUUCGGAUUGUAAACUCCUGUCUUUGGGGACGAUAAUGACGGUACCCAAGGAGGAAGCUCCGGCUAACUACGUGCCAGCAGCCGCGGUAAUACGUAGGGAGCGAGCGUUGUCCGGAAUUACUGGGUGUAAAGGGAGUGUAGGCGGGACUGCAAGUCAGAUGUGAAAAUUAUGAGCUCAACUUAUAACCUGCAUUUGAAACUGUGGUGCUUGAGUGAAGUAGAGGUAAGCGGAAUUCCUAGUGUAGCGGUGACAUGCGUAGAUAUUAGGAGGAACAUCAGUGGCGAAGGCGGCUUACUGGGCUUUUACUGACGCUGAGGCUCGAAAGCGUGGGGAGCAAACAGGAUUAGAUACCCGCGUAGUC